This 282-nucleotide ribosomal RNA is filed under the name Thalassomonas sp. M1454. RNAcentral describes it as "Bacterial large subunit ribosomal RNA". It matches the Rfam family "Bacterial large subunit ribosomal RNA", at positions 1403 to 1688 of the family's 2925-position model. The record is from Rfam by way of RNAcentral. Lineage: Bacteria; Pseudomonadati; Pseudomonadota; Gammaproteobacteria; Alteromonadales; Colwelliaceae.
GGAAACGCGUAGUCGAUGGGAAACAGAUUAAUAUUUCUGUACUUCUAUAUAUUGCGAAGGAGGGACGGAGAAGGCUAAGCAAGCAUGGCGCUGGUUGUCCAUGUGAAAGUAUGUAGGUUGGGAGUUUAGGUAAAUCCGGACUCCUAAGACUGAGAUACGAGACGAGGCUCUACGGAGCUGAAGUUGUUGAUGCCAUACUUCCAGGAAAAGCUUCUAAGCUUCAGAUAUAUAGGAACCGUACCCCAAACCGACACAGGUGGUUAGGUAGAGAAUACUAAGGCG